UAAAGCUCCUUCGACGAGUCGAGUAGUUUGGGAAUGCUGCUCAAAAUGGGAGGUAUAUUUCUUCUAAAGCUAAAUACCGGCCAGAGACCGAUAGCGCACAAGUAGAGUGAUCGAAAGAUGAAAAGCACUUUGAAAAGAGGGUUAAACAGCACGUGAAAUUGUUAAAAGGGAAGCGCUUGUGACCAGACUUGCGUCCGGUGAAUCACCCAGCUCUCGCGGCUGGGGCACUUCGCCGGCUCAGGCCAGCAUCAGCUCGCUGUCGGGGACAAAAGCUUCAGGAACGUAGCUCUCUUCGGGGGAGUGUUAUAGCCUGUUGCAUAAUACCCUUCGGCGGGCUGAGGUACGCGCUCCGCAAGGAUGCUGGCAUAAUGGUCAUCAGCGACCCGUCUUGAAACACGGACCAAGGAGUCAACCUUAUGUGCGAGUGUUCGGGUGUCAAACCCCUACGCGUAAUGAAAGUGAACGCAGGUGAGAGCUUCGGCGCAUCAUCGACCGAUCCUGAUGUUCUCGGAUGGAUUUGAGUAAGAGCAUAUAGGGUUGGACCCGAAAGAAGGUGAACUAUGCGUGUAUAGGGUGAAGCCAGAGGAAACUCUGGUGGAGGCUCGCAGCGGUUCUGACGUGCAAAUCGAUCGUCAAAUAUGCGCAUGGGGGCGAAAGACUAAUCGAACCUUCUAGUAGCUGGUUUCCGCCGAAGUUUCCCUCAGGAUAGCAGUGUUGAACUCAGUUUUAUGAGGUAAAGCGAAUGAUUAGGGACUCGGGGGCGCUAUAUUGCCUUCAUCCAUUCUCAAACUUUAAAUAUGUAAGAAGCCCUUGUUACUUAAUUGAACGUGGGCAUUCGAAUGUAUCAACACUAGUGGGCCAUUUUUGGUAAGCAGAACUGGCGAUGCGGGAUGAACCGAACGCGAGGUUAAGGUGCCAGAGUAGACGCUCAUCAGACACCACAAAAGGUGUUAGUACAUCUUGACAGCAGGACGGUGGCCAUGGAAGUCGGAAUCCGCUAAGGACUGUGUAACAACUCACCUGCCGAAUGUACUAGCCCUGAAAAUGGAUGGCGCUCAAGCGUCUCACCCAUACCUCGCCCUCAGUGUAGAAACGAUGCGCUGAGGAGUAGGCGGACGUGG
This 1121-nucleotide ribosomal RNA is filed under the name Colletotrichum gloeosporioides. RNAcentral's name for it is "eukaryotic LSU rRNA". It matches the Rfam family "Eukaryotic large subunit ribosomal RNA", at positions 247 to 1394 of the family's 3401-position model. The record is from RNAcentral. Lineage: Eukaryota; Fungi; Ascomycota; Sordariomycetes; Glomerellales; Glomerellaceae.